Molecule: unclassified non-coding RNA, 224 nt
Filed under: Hevea brasiliensis (rubber tree)
Lineage: Eukaryota; Viridiplantae; Streptophyta; Magnoliopsida; Malpighiales; Euphorbiaceae
Source: RNAcentral
GAGGCAUCCUUUUGUGGAAGACCUAAAAAGCAAGAAGUAAUCGAGUGAAUGAGAAUCUAAUUUAAAUAAUAUAAACUAGGAUUACAUCUGUAGCACUCAAAUAAUCAAUGAAAUUUCCAUCUUCAAGAACUUUAAACCCACAUAUAUCCUAACCGUAUAGCAAAACCAAGGAAAGUUUCAAAAUGUAGGUAGAAUUUAACGAAAUAAAAUAAAUAAAUAAAUAA